UACGGAGGAUGCAGGCGUUAUCCGGAUUUAUUAGGUUUAAAGGGUGCGUAGGCGGAUUUUUAAGUCAGUGGUGAAAUACCUCAGCUUAACUGAGGAACUGCCAUUGAUACUGAAGGUCUUGAAUGCAGUUGAAGUAGGCGGAAUGUGCAGUGUAGCGGUGAAAUGCUUAGAUAUUGCACAGAACACCGAUUGCGAAGGCAGCUUACUAAGCUGUGAUUGACGCUGAGGCACGAAAGCGUGGGGAU
Molecule: ribosomal RNA, 245 nt
Filed under: uncultured bacterium
Lineage: Bacteria
Description: partial 16S ribosomal RNA
Rfam family: Bacterial small subunit ribosomal RNA
Source: RNAcentral